ACUAAAUAGAUACCCGGGUAGUCCACGCCGUAAACGUUGGGCGCUAGGUGUGGGGCUCUUUCCACGAGUUCCGUGCCGCAGCAAAAACGCAUUAAGCGCCCCGCCUGGGGAGUACGGCCGCAAGGCUAAAACCUCAAAGGAAUUGACGGGGGUCCCGCACAAGCGGCGGAGCAUGCGGAUUAAUUCGAUGCAACGCGAAGAACCUUACCAAGGCUUGACAUACGCAGAAAACCCGGCAGAGAUGUCGGGUCCGUAAGGGCUGUGUACAGGUGGUGCAUGGUUGUCGUCAGCUCGUGUCGUGAGAUGUUGGGUUAACGUCCCGCAACGAGCGCAACCCUCGUUCCAUGUUGCCAGCACGUAAUGGUGGGGUACUCAUGGGAGACUGCCGGGGUUCAACUCGGAGGAAGGUGGGGUAUGACGUCAAACUCAUCAUGCCCCGUUAUGUCUUGGGCUUCACGCAUGCUACAAUGGCCAGUACAAA
This 481-nucleotide ribosomal RNA is filed under the name uncultured bacterium. RNAcentral describes it as "bacterial SSU rRNA". It matches the Rfam family "Bacterial small subunit ribosomal RNA", at positions 772 to 1243 of the family's 1533-position model. The record is from RNAcentral.